This 408-nucleotide ribosomal RNA is filed under the name uncultured bacterium. RNAcentral's name for it is "bacterial SSU rRNA". It matches the Rfam family "Bacterial small subunit ribosomal RNA", at positions 161 to 559 of the family's 1533-position model. The record is from RNAcentral.
CGCUAAUACCGCAUAUUCUGUGCGCAGGAAAGCAGGGGGAUCGCAAGACCUUGCGCUGAUUGAGCGGCCGAUAUCAGAUUAGCUAGUUGGUGAGGUAAAGGCUCACCAAGGGCGACGAUCUGUAGCGGGUCUGAGAGGAUGAUCCGCCACACUGGAACUGAGACACGGUCCCAGACUCCUACGGGAGGCAGCAGUGGGGAAUUUUGGACAAUGGGGGCAACCCUGAUCCAGCCAUGCCGCGUGAGUGAAGAAGGCCUUCGGGUUGUAAAGCUCUUUCGGCCGGGAAGAAAUCGUAUCAGCUAAUACCUGGUGCGGAUGACGGUACCGGCAUUAAGAAGCACCGGCUAACUACGUGCCAGCAGCCGCGGUAAUACGUAGGGUGCGAGCGUUUAAUCGGAAUUACUGGGC